Molecule: long non-coding RNA, 914 nt
Filed under: Gallus gallus (chicken)
Lineage: Eukaryota; Metazoa; Chordata; Aves; Galliformes; Phasianidae
Description: lncRNA (ENSGALG00010000410.1)
Source: RNAcentral
UUUUGGGACCAUUUCCCCCCAUUUAGGGCCAUUUUGGUCCCAUUUCCCCCCAUUUAGAGCCAUUUGGGGCCCAUUUCUCCCCAUUUAGGGUCAUUCGGGGUCCAUUUCCCCCCAUUUAGGGCCAUUUGGGGUCCAUUUCCCCCAUUUAUGGCCAUUUUGGGCCCAUUUCCCCCCAUUUUGGGGUCAAUUCCUCCCAUUUGGGUGCAUUUCCCCCCAUUUAGGGCCAUUUGGGUCCAUUUCCCCCCAUUUAGGGUCAUUUGGGGUCCAUUUCCCCCCAUUUAGGGCCAUUUUGGGCCCAUUUCUCCCCAUUUUGGGGUCAAUUCCCCCCAAUUUGGGUCCAUUCCCACCAUUUUGGGUCCAUUUGGGGUCCAUUUCCCCCCAUUUAGGGCCAUUUUGGGCCCAUUUCCCCCAUUUAGGGCCAUUUUGGGCCCAUUUCUCCCCAUUUUGGGGUCAAUUCCCCCCAUUUUGGGUCCAUUUCCCCCAUUUAGGGCCAUUUUGGGGUCAAUUCCCCCCCAUUUAGGGCCAUUUGGGGCCCAUUUCCCCCCAUUUAGGGCCAUUUUCCCCCAUUUAGGGCCAUUUUGGGCCCAUUUCUCCCCAUUUUGGGGUCAAUUCCUCCCAUUUGGGGUCCAUUUCCCCCCAUUUAGGGCCAUUUUGGGGUCCAUUUUCCCCCAUUUAGGGCCAUUUGGGGCCCAUUUCCCCCCAUUUAGGGCCAUUUUGGGGUCAAUUCACCCCCAUUUCCCCCAUUUUGGGUCCAUUUCCCCCCAUUUAGGGCCAUUUGGGUCCAUUUCCCCCCAUUUAGGGCCAUUUUGGGGCCGUUUUGGGGCCGUUCGGACCCUUUUAUCCCCCCCGCCCCCCCCCCCAACGUCUCCCCACGGGGGGGGGCAGCAGCUGUGGGGCUGAGGCUCCGCCCCCCC